Molecule: transfer RNA, 71 nt
Filed under: Bos taurus (domestic cattle)
Lineage: Eukaryota; Metazoa; Chordata; Mammalia; Artiodactyla; Bovidae
Also listed under: 1 other name
Rfam family: tRNA
About the family: Transfer RNA (tRNA) molecules are approximately 80 nucleotides in length. Their secondary structure includes four short double-helical elements and three loops (D, anti-codon, and T loops).
Source: Rfam by way of RNAcentral
UCCCCGGUGUCUCAGUGGUAAAGAAUCUGCCUGCAAUGCAGGAACCCCGGGUUUGAUCCCUGGGCUGGGAA